AGUGAACGCUGGCGGUAGGCCUAACACAUGCAAGUCGAACGGCAGCACAGGAGAGCUUGCUCUCUGGGUGGCGAGUGGCGGACGGGUGAGGAAUACAUCGGAAUCUACUUUUUCGUGGGGGCUAACGUGGGGAAACUUACGCUAAUACCGCAUACGACCUACGGGUGAAAGCAGGGGACCUUCGGGCCUUGCGCGAUUGAAUGAGCCGAUGUCGGAUUAGCUAGUUGGCGGGGUAAAGGCCCACCAAGGCGACGAUCCGUAGCUGGUCUGAGAGGAUGAUCAGCCACACUGGAACUGAGACACGGUCCAGACUCCUACGGGAGGCAGCAGUGGGGAAUAUUGGACAAUGGGCGCAAGCCUGAUCCAGCCAUACCGCGUGGGUGAAGAAGGCCUUCGGGUUGUAAAGCCCUUUGUUGGGAAAGAAAUCCAGCUGGCUAACACCCGGUUGGGAUGACGGUACCCAAGGAAUAAGCACCGGCUAACUUCGUGCCAGCCGCCGCGGUAA
This 505-nucleotide ribosomal RNA is filed under the name uncultured bacterium. RNAcentral's name for it is "partial 16S ribosomal RNA". It matches the Rfam family "Bacterial small subunit ribosomal RNA", at positions 29 to 523 of the family's 1533-position model. The record is from RNAcentral.